Molecule: ribosomal RNA, 440 nt
Filed under: uncultured bacterium
Lineage: Bacteria
Description: partial 16S ribosomal RNA
Rfam family: Bacterial small subunit ribosomal RNA
Source: RNAcentral
CCUACGGGAGGCAGCAGUGGGGAAUAUUGCACAAUGGGGGAAACCCUGACGCAGCAACGCCGCGUGAACGAGACGCCCUUUGGGGUGUAAAGUUCUGUCAGUGGGGAAGAAAGAUGACGGUACCUACCGAGGAAGCACCGGCUAACUCCGUGCCAGCAGCCGCGGUAAUACGGAGGGUGCAAGCGUUGUCCGGAAUCAUUGGGCGUAAAGAGAUCGUAGGCGGUAUGUUAAGUCUGGUGUUAAAUGCAGGAGCUCAACUUCUGUACGGCACUGGAUACUGGCAAACUAGAGUGCGGUAGAGGUAAGGGGAAUUCUUGGUGUAGCGGUGAAAUGCUUAGAUAUCAGGAGGAACACCGGUGGCGUAGGCGCUUUACUGGGCCGUAAUUGACGCUGAGGAACGAAAGCCAGGGUAGCAAAUGGGAUUAGAUACCCUAGUAGUC